This 85-nucleotide transfer RNA is filed under the name Vibrio vulnificus. RNAcentral describes it as "tRNA-Leu". It matches the Rfam family "tRNA". From Rfam's summary of the family: Transfer RNA (tRNA) molecules are approximately 80 nucleotides in length. Their secondary structure includes four short double-helical elements and three loops (D, anti-codon, and T loops). Further hydrogen bonds mediate the characteristic L-shaped molecular structure. tRNAs have two regions of fundamental functional importance: the anti-codon, which is responsible for specific mRNA codon recognition, and the 3' end, to which the tRNAs corresponding amino acid is attached (by aminoacyl-tRNA synthetases). tRNAs cope with the degeneracy of the genetic code in two manners: having more than one tRNA (with a specific anti-codon) for a particular amino acid; and 'wobble' base-pairing, i.e. permitting non-standard base-pairing at the 3rd anti-codon position. The record is from RNAcentral. Lineage: Bacteria; Pseudomonadati; Pseudomonadota; Gammaproteobacteria; Vibrionales; Vibrionaceae. RNAcentral also lists the same sequence under 1 other name.
GCGGAAGUGGCGAAAUUGGUAGACGCACCAGAUUUAGGUUCUGGCGCCGUGAGGUGUGAGAGUUCGAGUCUCUCCUUCCGCACCA